AUUCAGACUCUCUCCCUCUCUCUCUCUCUCUGAAAAAUCUCUCUGAAAACUCUCUCUCUCUGAAAAAGAAGAAAGAAACUAAAGAAGGAAAUAAGAAAAGAAAUGGGGAAUCCGAAAGGCGAGGUGCAGAGGAGGGUGUUGUUACUGUGCGGGGACUACAUGGAAGAUUACGAGGCAAUGGUCCCAUUUCAAGCACUGCAGGCAUUUGGAGUCUCUGUUGAUGCAGUUUCUCCUGUCAAGAAAGCUGGUGAUAUCUGCGCCACUGCCAUAACCAUUCAAGUAGAGUCCACUGACCAGGCUAAUAAAGAAUCUCGUGGUCACAAUUUCACACUGAAUGCAACAUUUGAUGACAUCGAAAUUGACAAAUAUGAUGGUCUAGUUAUACCAGGAGGACGAUCUCCUGAACAUCUUGCUAUGAAGGCAUCCGUUGUAGAAUUGGCGAGAAAAUUUUCUGACUGCAGAAAGCCAAUUGCUGCUAUUUGCCAUGGGCUGUUGGUCUUAGCACCUGCAGGCGCUGUUAAAGGUCGCAAAUGCACCGCGGUUUCAACUAUGAAACCUGGAUUGGUUGCUGCUGGUGCUCACUGGGUAGAACCCGAUACAUUGUCAGUGUGUGUUGCUGAUGAUAAUUUAAUUACUGGGGUCACAUAUUAUGGCAAUCCUGAGUUCAUUAGGCUUUUUCUCAGGCACUGGGAGGCAAAAUAUGUGCUUCAGAGAGAAGGGUCCUCAUCAUCAUUGGAAACUACGCGGAAGAUUAUGAGGUAACUGUGCCUUAUCAGACCCUCAAAGUUCUAGGAUGCCAUGUUGAUGUGGUUUGCCCCAAGAAGAAAGCCGGUGAUACCUGCCCAACUGCUAUCCGUGAUCUUGAAGGGGGCCAAACCUACAGUGAGAUCCGGGGACAUAAUUUUGUUUUAACAGCUGACUUUGAAUCCAUAGAUGCCUCAAGUUAUGACGCUCUUGUACUCCCUGGAGGUAAAGCUCCAGAGUUUUUGGCACUAAAGGAGGAUGUUAUUGUACUAGUGAAACAAUUUAUGGAAGCCGGGAAACCAGUUGCAUCCAUCUGCCAUGGCCUGGAAAUUUUAGUUGCUGCUGGUGUUCUGCAGGGGAAGAAAUGUACUGGAUACCCAGGGAUUAAGGCUCGUGUGGUUUCGUCAGGAGGGACGUUUGUGGAAGCGGAUCCAAUAGAUCGUUGUGUCACUGAUGGAAAUCUGGUUACCGCAGCAGCGUGGCAUGGCCAACCAGAGCUUAUUUCUCAGUUGAUGAGAUUGCUUGAUAUUCGAGUAUCAUUCUAGGCACCCUUUACCGGGUCUGCUGCUUCCAAGGAAUAUAUGGAAUUCCAUAAACGAAUAAGAGAAUAAAAGAAAAAGAAGCAUAGCCAGAAACUCCGUGUAAUUCAAUAAAAGAAUAAGAGCAUAUGUGAAGGUGUUGUGUGUAUCUGUGAGGGAACAAUGAUGCUCGGAUUCUGCUCUAUAUGUACCAAUUGUGGAUGGAUCUUGUAUGUUUGUAACUACGUAAUGUUGAUUAUGAUUUUUAUGGAAAUCAUUGAAUCUGCUUUCAGAUCUA
RNA transcript from Prunus persica (peach), 1560 nucleotides. It is a transcript of the gene named protein DJ-1 homolog D-like, with no coding region annotated. Lineage: Eukaryota; Viridiplantae; Streptophyta; Magnoliopsida; Rosales; Rosaceae. The transcript is spliced from 4 exons. The record is from RefSeq and is a predicted model, not a curated record.